RNAcentral lists this ribosomal RNA (253 nucleotides) under uncultured bacterium. Its description in RNAcentral is "partial 16S ribosomal RNA". It matches the Rfam family "Bacterial small subunit ribosomal RNA", at positions 524 to 776 of the family's 1533-position model. The record is from RNAcentral.
UACGGAGGGAGCUAGCGUUAUUCGGAAUUACUGGGCGUAAAGCGCACGUAGGCGGCUUUGUAAGUUAGAGGUGGAAGCCUGGAGCUCAACUCCAGAAUUGCCUUUAAGACUGCAUCGCUUGAAUCCAGGAGAGGUGAGUGGAAUUCCGAGUGUAGAGGUGAAAUUCGUAGAUAUUCGGAAGAACACCAGUGGCGAAGGCGACUUACUGGACACAUAUUGACGCUGAGGUGCGAAAGCGUGGGGAGCAAACAGG